RNAcentral lists this transfer RNA (59 nucleotides) under Hypodontus macropi. Its description in RNAcentral is "tRNA-Ile". Lineage: Eukaryota; Metazoa; Nematoda; Chromadorea; Rhabditida; Strongylidae. The record is from RNAcentral.
AUUUCAUUAGUAAAAGUUAUGAUUAUAUUAUCUUGAUGAGGUAAAGUUUAAUGAAAUAG